Molecule: ribosomal RNA, 491 nt
Filed under: uncultured bacterium
Lineage: Bacteria
Description: partial 16S ribosomal RNA
Rfam family: Bacterial small subunit ribosomal RNA
Source: RNAcentral
AGUGAACGCUGGCGGUAGGCCUAACACAUGCAAGUCGAACGGCAGCACAGUAAGAGCUUGCUCUUACGGGUGGCGAGUGGCGGACGGGUGAGGAAUACAUCGGAAUCUACUUUUUCGUGGGGGAUAACGUAGGGAAACUUACGCUAAUACCGCAUACGACCUACGGGUGAAAGCAGGGGAUCUUCGGACCUUGCGCGAUUGAAUGAGCCGAUGUCGGAUUAGCUGGUUGGCGGGGUAAAGGCCCACCAAGGCGACGAUCCGUAGCUGGUCUGAGAGGAUGAUCAGCCACACUGGAACUGAGACACGGUCCAGACUCAUACGGGAGGCAGCAGUGGGGAAUAUUGGACAAUGGGCGCAAGCCUGAUCCAGCCAUACCGCGUGGGUGAAGAAGGCCUUCGGGUUGUAAAGCCCUUUUGUUGGGAAAGAAAAGCAGCAGGUUAAUACCCCGCUGUUCUGACGGUACCCAAAGAAUAAGCACCGGCGAACUUCGU